This 76-nucleotide ribosomal RNA is filed under the name Bacteroidales bacterium. RNAcentral describes it as "partial 16S ribosomal RNA". It matches the Rfam family "Bacterial small subunit ribosomal RNA", at positions 1 to 76 of the family's 1533-position model. Lineage: Bacteria; Pseudomonadati; Bacteroidota; Bacteroidia; Bacteroidales. The record is from RNAcentral.
ACAACGAAGAGUUUGAUCCUGGCUCAGGAUGAACGCUAGCGGCAGGCCUAACACAUGCAAGUCGAGGGGUAACAGG